This 133-nucleotide transfer RNA is filed under the name Bacteroides sp. Its description in RNAcentral is "tRNA-Ser". The record is from RNAcentral. Lineage: Bacteria; Pseudomonadati; Bacteroidota; Bacteroidia; Bacteroidales; Bacteroidaceae.
GGAAGCAUGGGUGAGCGGCCGAAACCAGCCCCCUGCUAAGGGGCCGAGCCUCAAAAAGGCUCCGAAAGUUCGAAUUGCAAAUCGGCGAAGACCGCUGUAAUAGACUCAAUCUGAGCCAAUCUUUCUGCUUCCG